GUACCAUUAUCGAAACAGAGAGAAGUAGGGAAAAGCAAGAAGUACCAAACCUAGAACUUCAAUUGUCUCGAUCCUUUUAUCAUAUUGAGCUGUAAAUUCAUCAAUUGCAGCUGCGGGAGGAGGAGGACGUGGUGGAGAAUGGCGGAACACUUGGCCUCGAUUUUUGGGACCGAGAAAGACAGAGUGAACUGCCCUUUUUACUUCAAGAUCGGAGUUGCCGUCACGGCGACCGCUGUUCUCGCCUCCAUACCAAGCCUAGCAUCAGUCCGACUCUGCUUCUCUCCAACAUGUAUCAACGGCCUGAUAUGAUUACUCCUGGCGUCGACGCCCAGGGCCAGCCGAUCGACCCUCACAAAAUGCAAGAGCACUUCGAGGAUUUCUAUGAAGAUCUUUUUGAGGAGCUAAGCAAGUAUGGUGUGAUUGAGAGCUUGAAUAUUUGUGACAAUUUGGCUGACCACAUGGUUGGAAAUGUCUAUGUCCAGUUUAGAGAGGAAGAGCAAGCAGCAAAUGCAUUGAAAAAUCUCACUGGGCGGUACUAUGCAGGACGGCCCAUUAUUGUUGAUUUUUCGCCUGUGACUGAUUUUCGUGAAGCUACUUGUAGACAGUAUGAAGAAAAUACAUGCAAUCGUGGUGGCUACUGUAACUUCAUGCAUCUCAAAAGGAUUAGCAGGGAAUUGCGACGUCAGUUAUUUGGGAGGUAUCGCCGAAGGCGCAGCCGGAGCAGGAGCCGAAGCAGAAGCCCUUACAGGCAUCGCAGCCAUGAAGAGCGUUCCAUCGUCACAGUAGAAGGUAUGAAGACAGAGAUUAUCACCAUGAGAGUCGAAGCAGGAGGCAUAGGAGCACCAGUCCUGACCGUAGGAGGGGAAGAAGUAGGAGCAGGAGUCCAGGUGGCAGGAGAGAUAGAAGUCCUGUUAGGGAUGGUAGUGAAGAGAGACGUGCUAGGAUUGAAAUGUGGAACAGAGAAAGAGAAGAAGCAGAACUAGCGAAUAAGAUCAAUGAUAAUAGCAGCAACAGGAAAAACGAAAGCGAGGACAAUGGGUAUGCACAAAAUGGAGAUCAGUAUUAUCGACAGGAGCCACCAUAUGGAUAUUGAACUGACAGUGGUUCGUUUUCUUCUCUCAUCAUUUUCAUUUAUCUUUGCUCCUUAGUUGAAUUUCUUUUCAAAGGAGGAGCCACCUGUUGUCUAAAUGUAGCUUACUGCGCAUUUUCCACUGUGCAGGUGGUGUGCAGGUUUACAGUUCUGUGAUAUGGCUUGUGAAAAAAAUAUGCACCCUUUUUUGGCUUUCUGAUUUCAUCAUCUUGUGUCUGUGCUUGAAUGCAUUGCAUGAUCUUAGUUUGAUUGUAGCCAGCCACAGUGUAAAAACUAAUCUGUGUUGUCUGUGCAUCUAUAGCUCAUACUGUCUUACAUCAUCAUUCAUGUCUUUUCUGUCAUAACAAUAGUAGAGAUGAGUUGAUGGUAAAUCUUUUUAUGGUUCUUUAAAAAUUUUUGAAGGCAAUCCAUGAGUUAGAUUUUUUUUUUCUUCAUCCCUGUAAUGGGAACAAUUACUUGAGGAGUUUCAUUGCUUAAUUAUUUAAGGUAAUUUCCGGUGUAAAUUUUGCGUUGGGCGAGUUUUUCAAGCCUGACAUCUUUUAAACACGCUUGAGGGAGCCCUUCACUUUGAUAUUUUGAUUGCAUAGACUUGGUGUUUUCGGUUCUGUGUUAGUUGUGAUGUUGUUGCUUGUUGAUCAACUUUACCAUGUCUGUCUCAAUGUCAUUUUUAGCUCAUGGGCAGAUCUUGUCAUGAUUGUCGUAUGUUUUCCUGAGCUUUGUUCCUUUUUUCUUCUUUUAUGUAGAAGCAGAAUGCUUCUAGUAAAUUUAUACAUGACUCAUGGGUAGGGUCUUGUGCAAUUAGUUGUGGUCUUGGUUUAUGACAUCAUUGGGAAGCCGUGUUGUAGUAGGAAUACAAGCUGUAAUAAUGCAUGCAGUGUGCAUUUUUCGUUUAUUAUGUGUGUGCAGUGCAUGUUUCUGAAUUCUAUGUGCAGUCAGGUAUUCUGUCACCGCAACAAAACCAGGCUAGUGACCUUGAACUUGUAUUUCUGCUCUGAAAUUUACUUUAAAAAGUAUUAUCUUACAGCAUCUCGAGUUUUGCAGGUCCAGGUUUCCCUGCUUAAAAGGACCAAGAAUAUAUUUUAACUAAGGCUUACCAUGGAAUGUGUACAGGUUCUGCCAAGUCAGAGAAUAUGAUCCAACAGGUUUGAUGUGACAGGGAUGUGCAGGAUUUCAAGGGCAUAGAAGACUAAUGGAUGCUAGAGUGCCUUUGGCUCCUGAGCUGAAUUGUUAUGAUGAGCAUAAUCUGUUGUAAACUUUUUCAGGUGGUUGUGUAGGUUGGCUGAUGGGAAUUGCUGUUUUUCCUUCGUUGGGUAUACGCUCUAGCUAUUCGUAGACUGAACAGUUUCUAUGAAGUUUUUCAUUUUGUACUGGUUUGUAAUCAUAUAAGACGAGCGCAAUGCAAUCUUGGGAGUUUCUCCUUGGUUUACUGAUGA
Molecule: non-coding RNA, 2523 nt
Organism: Coffea arabica (coffee)
Lineage: Eukaryota; Viridiplantae; Streptophyta; Magnoliopsida; Gentianales; Rubiaceae
Source: RefSeq, a predicted model, not a curated record